CCCUGUCUAUACUUGCAUUUUUUUCUAUUAAUUGACACAAUUAUUUUUGCAAGUUGGAAAAAAAUGCAGUAUUAAUUUCAUUUGCAACAAACUUAAUAGAUUAAUUAGGAGAGAAUAGAUAUCUUUAAAAUUGAGUCUUCUAUCCAACUGCAAGUUAUAGCUGAGGUGGUACCAGUUUAAGAAGUGAGAACUUCUUCAUUGACUGAUAUUUGCAUAUCAAUCCAAAUCAUUGUGCUUGUUUACUAUUUUUGUAGACGUCAUUCUUCAAAAGUGCUGCAUCUUUCAUAGUCAAGGAGGACAAAGACAUCUUUCCUGCAGGUGGUGACCAUGUGGAUAAUGGGAUUAUAGCCAAAUGGUGGUUUCAUCUACAGCAUCACCAAAAUGCUGUUGUUAUUGCUUCUUUCUGGGAUCUUCUUGCAUCUUUGCUUCUCAAGGGGCACAGCUUUUAUAGAAGUAUGUCCAGGAAUAGAAGUGACCUGCUUUUUGGCAAGUAAUUGCCUGGAAUGUCUUUAUGUACUUCUCUGCGCUCUCAAUACAUUUCAUGCUUCCCUCUAUUUUUGUGUAUUAACUCAUUGUAUUUCUUAAAUUUAUAUUUUACUUUUUGAAUGGAAGUGAGAUUUGUGUAUGGUAAAUAUAAUUAAUUCAACCCCAUGGACACGCUAGUCACUGUCCAGAUUAUGGCAAGUCUUUCUCAGAAGCAGAGGGCCUUGGUGUGCCAGUGAUUUUUUUCCCCCCAUGUGUAAGAUACUUUUUUUCCUCAUUUGAAUCAGGAGCCCACAGUUUUUGGACAAGUUUCAAAUGAAAUCUUAAGCAUUUGUGUUGUCUGGACUAGACCUUCUGUAGUAUCCUUUUUGUUAGACCUAGUAUAUUUCAUUCCAGAUCAGUAUCUGAGAGUGACUAUAAUUCACCUCUUUCAAAGUACACAAACUUGGAUGACAUGACAAUUGAGUGUGUAAGGGAGAGCGAGACCCUUGCACUGCCAUUUUGAGCCAUUGUGAUCUCAUCUUGUAGAACAUGUUGUAUAAUCAUUUUCUUGGUAUCACUAGUGUUCUUUGGGGCUGGAAUAAAAAUCUUAAGUGUACCAAAGAGAUUUCCCCUUUAUCCACAUUA
Rhinopithecus roxellana (golden snub-nosed monkey) is the source of this 1110-nucleotide long non-coding RNA. RefSeq lists it as uncharacterized. The transcript has 4 exons. NCBI's taxonomy places the organism in Eukaryota, Metazoa, Chordata, Mammalia, Primates, Cercopithecidae. The record is from RefSeq and is a predicted model, not a curated record.